Molecule: ribosomal RNA, 2927 nt
Filed under: Salmonella enterica subsp. enterica
Lineage: Bacteria; Pseudomonadati; Pseudomonadota; Gammaproteobacteria; Enterobacterales; Enterobacteriaceae
Description: 23S ribosomal RNA
Rfam family: Bacterial large subunit ribosomal RNA
Source: RNAcentral
GGGUUGUGAGGUUAAGCGACUAAGCGUACACGGUGGAUGCCCUGGCAGUCAGAGGCGAUGAAGGACGUGCUAAUCUGCGAUAAGCGCCGGUAAGGUGAUAUGAACCGUUAUAACCGGCGAUUUCCGAAUGGGGAAACCCAGUGUGACUCGUCACACUAUUAUUAACUGAAUCCAUAGGUUAAUGAGGCGAACCGGGGGAACUGAAACAUCUAAGUACCCCGAGGAAAAGAAAUCAACCGAGAUUCCCCCAGUAGCGGCGAGCGAACGGGGAGGAGCCCAGAGCCUGAAUCAGCAUGUGUGUUAGUGGAAGCGUCUGGAAAGGCGCGCGAUACAGGGUGACAGCCCCGUACACAAAAGCGCAUGUGCUGUGAGCUCGAUGAGUAGGGCGGGACACGUGGUAUCCUGUCUGAAUAUGGGGGGACCAUCCUCCAAGGCUAAAUACUCCUGACUGACCGAUAGUGAACCAGUACCGUGAGGGAAAGGCGAAAAGAACCCCGGCGAGGGGAGUGAAAAAGAACCUGAAACCGUGUACGUACAAGCAGUGGGAGCACCCUUUUGGGUGUGACUGCGUACCUUUUGUAUAAUGGGUCAGCGACUUAUAUUCUGUAGCAAGGUUAACCGAAUAGGGGAGCCGGAGGGAAACCGAGUCUUAAUUGGGCGUUAAGUUGCAGGGUAUAGACCCGAAACCCGGUGAUCUAGCCAUGGGCAGGUUGAAGGUUGGGUAACACUAACUGGAGGACCGAACCGACUAAUGUUGAAAAAUUAGCGGAUGACCUGUGGCUGGGGGUGAAAGGCCAAUCAAACCGGGAGAUAGCUGGUUCUCCCCGAAAGCUAUUUAGGUAGCGCCUCGUGAAUUCAUCUCCGGGGGUAGAGCACUGUUUCGGCUAGGGGGCCAUCCCGGCUUACCAACCCGAUGCAAACUGCGAAUACCGGAGAAUGUUAUCACGGGAGACACACGGCGGGUGCUAACGUCCGUCGUGAAGAGGGAAACAACCCAGACCGCCAGCUAAGGUCCCAAAGUCAUGGUUAAGUGGGAAACGAUGUGGGAAGGCCCAGACAGCCAGGAUGUUGGCUUAGAAGCAGCCAUCAUUUAAAGAAAGCGUAAUAGCUCACUGGUCGAGUCGGCCUGCGCGGAAGAUGUAACGGGGCUAAACCAUGCACCGAAGCUGCGGCAGCGACGCUGAUGCGUUGUUGGGUAGGGGAGCGUUCUGUAAGCCUGCGAAGGUGGCCUGUGAGGGUUGCUGGAGGUAUCAGAAGUGCGAAUGCUGACAUAAGUAACGAUAAAGCGGGUGAAAAGCCCGCUCGCCGGAAGACCAAGGGUUCCUGUCCAACGUUAAUCGGGGCAGGGUGAGUCGACCCCUAAGGCGAGGCCGAAAGGCGUAGUCGAUGGGAAACGGGUUAAUAUUCCCGUACUUGGUGUUACUGCGAAGGGGGGACGGAGAAGGCUAUGUUGGCCGGGCGACGGUUGUCCCGGUUUAAGCGUGUAGGUGUGUGUUCCAGGUAAAUCCGGUUCACUUUAACACUGAGGCGUGACGACGAGGCACUACGGUGCUGAAGCAACAAAUGCCCUGCUUCCAGGAAAAGCCUCUAAGCAUCAGGUAACAUCAAAUCGUACCCCAAACCGACACAGGUGGUCAGGUAGAGAAUACCAAGGCGCUUGAGAGAACUCGGGUGAAGGAACUAGGCAAAAUGGUGCCGUAACUUCGGGAGAAGGCACGCUGACACGUAGGUGAAGUGAUUUACUCACGGAGCUGAAGUCAGUCGAAGAUACCAGCUGGCUGCAACUGUUUAUUAAAAACACAGCACUGUGCAAACACGAAAGUGGACGUAUACGGUGUGACGCCUGCCCGGUGCCGGAAGGUUAAUUGAUGGGGUCAGCGCAAGCGAAGCUCCUGAUCGAAGCCCCGGUAAACGGCGGCCGUAACUAUAACGGUCCUAAGGUAGCGAAAUUCCUUGUCGGGUAAGUUCCGACCUGCACGAAUGGCGUAAUGAUGGCCAGGCUGUCUCCACCCGAGACUCAGUGAAAUUGAACUCGCUGUGAAGAUGCAGUGUACCCGCGGCAAGACGGAAAGACCCCGUGAACCUUUACUAUAGCUUGACACUGAACAUUGAGCCUUGAUGUGUAGGAUAGGUGGGAGGCUUUGAAGCGUGGACGCCAGUCUGCGUGGAGCCGACCUUGAAAUACCACCCUUUAAUGUUUGAUGUUCUAACGUGGACCCGUUACCCGGGUUGCGGACAGUGUCUGGUGGGUAGUUUGACUGGGGCGGUCUCCUCCUAAAGAGUAACGGAGGAGCACGAAGGUUGGCUAAUCCUGGUCGGACAUCAGGAGGUUAGUGCAAUGGCAUAAGCCAGCUUGACUGCGAGCGUGACGGCGCGAGCAGGUGCGAAAGCAGGUCAUAGUGAUCCGGUGGUUCUGAAUGGAAGGGCCAUCGCUCAACGGAUAAAAGGUACUCCGGGGAUAACAGGCUGAUACCGCCCAAGAGUUCAUAUCGACGGCGGUGUUUGGCACCUCGAUGUCGGCUCAUCACAUCCUGGGGCUGAAGUAGGUCCCAAGGGUAUGGCUGUUCGCCAUUUAAAGUGGUACGCGAGCUGGGUUUAGAACGUCGUGAGACAGUUCGGUCCCUAUCUGCCGUGGGCGCUGGAGAACUGAGGGGGGCUGCUCCUAGUACGAGAGGACCGGAGUGGACGCAUCACUGGUGUUCGGGUUGUCAUGCCAAUGGCACUGCCCGGUAGCUAAAUGCGGAAGAGAUAAGUGCUGAAAGCAUCUAAGCACGAAACUUGCCCCGAGAUGAGUUCUCCCUGAGACUUAGAGUCUCCUGAAGGAACGUUGAAGACGACGACGUUGAUAGGCCGGGUGUGUAAGCGCAGCGAUGCGUUGAGCUAACCGGUACUAAUGAACCGUGAGGCUUAACCUUACAACGCCGAAG